GCUAUUGAGUUAGGUGUAUGAACUCCUUAUAUAUUCUGGAAAUUAAUCCUUCAUCUGGCUGCACACCCAUGUCUUUCACAGUGAUUUUAAUCUCUUAAAAGCAGGGCCAGAGCAAGCACACAAACACAUCUUCCAUUUAAAAGACGUUUCGUCUGAACGCGCUGGUUUCUUCCUCUUCAGGCCUUUUUAUAAAGGAGUCGUCCUGUACAACAAGACUCCAGUAACGCAUAACCCUCCAAAUUGAAACCUGCAGUAACAAGACGCCAGGGAGAUGCCCUGAGACCCUCCCGUGCAGGCUAGAACUCAGGCAGCAGUCAAACCAGGCCUGGAGUUGGGACCUGGGCUGUCAAGGCCUUCCUGCAGCCAGGUGGCUCGGAACUGGCAUCCAGGCCCGGCUGCAGGGCCUCCCACAGGUCGCAUGACUGGUCAAGUCCCCUCCUCACUGGCUGCGUUCUCACUCCAGUAAUGCGUAAAGGACAAUUUCGCUGGACUGACCCUAUCAGAUUUGGAACAUCUUAAGACGGCUCAGCUAUUUUCAGGAAAUGGGUGACUUUUCAAUACACAGAAAGGUGAGGUAGACCUUUUGCACCUCUGUCCUUAUUUUACUGGUCUAAACAAGGCGUUCUUUCGCUACUGUUUGAGAAACCAAAAAUAAGAAUGGUUUAACAAGAGCUUGACACACCGCAAAAGAGCCCUUACCCUGUCUCGCCCCUGCACUCUNNNNNNNNNNNNNNNNNNNNNNNNNNNACUCUUUCCAUACAGUAUAAAGCCGUCAUCAGUGACGUCUUCCAGCAAAGGCCAUCGGUAAAGACCCAUCUUGCAUCUCCAGAGGGACCACUGUCCCAGGUGAAGGGGUGACUCAGGCAGACAGAGGGGUAUGUCUUACAGGUGCUCUUUGACAAGGACACUGUGGACGCAUAGACUCGAGUGAGGGGGUCAUGCUGACAGCACAUAGGCCUCUUCGCUGCAGAACUUCUCAGAGCCUUCAACAUAAAACGUGCGUGGGAAGGGGCCGUGUAUGAGUGGGGCCUCCCAGAUUUAAUGGGUCGCCAACCGCUUUUUCUCAAGAAACAGCUAUGAACGCUGAUGGGUGUCUGAGGAACAAGGCUGGGAACAGAGCCGCGUGCUACCUUGAAAGGACGGGUCAGUGACACGUUCCCAGUGGCCCCCAGGAUCACACCUCACCUGCCACCUACAGGGGCAGAUUCGUGCUUAAAGAGGACCUGCCCUUGGCCAGAGCAGGACAGCCAGAGGGGACAUUAAAUUCCUAUCUGCUUAGGUGCUUAUUCCUCUCACUCUAUUACUCAGGCCCAAGCUGCUGCCCGAAGAGACCAGGUGAUACUGUCAGGUUGCAGCAGAGCACGUAACACAUUUCUGAGCCCCUGACCGCAUGCAGCGCCAUGGCACCAUCCAGCGAUGUCACCAUCCAGCGAUGUCACAGCAACCUUGCACAGCACCGAGAAUCUUCUAGUGGCCUCGUUAAUCAAAAAAUAGAAAGAAACAGCUGAAACGCAUCCUAAUAAUUCACUUUAUGUAAUGUGAUAUACCUCAAAUAUUUUCAUUUCAAGGGGUGAUGAGUGUUUAAAAAUAUUAACGAGGUUUUGCACAUACUUUUCCUUUAUAUCAAGUCUUCUUAGGAUAAGAAAAAGUGUGUGAAAAAUCCUAAUUCUUACAUUUCGAAAAAUCCAGUACAUACUUCAGACUCACAGCACAUCUUGGUUUGGACAAGCCACAUUUCAGGUCCCUAAAAGCCACCAAAGGCGGCUCAUGGUUACCUACCUGAUGGCAACAACCAAAACCCACAGCAGCGAUAACCAAGGCGGCGGCUGCGAGGCCGUUAACUGCACUGAGCACUUGCUGUCGCCAAGGCCUUUUCAUGCAGGGCCUCCCCAGGUCGCCAUCAGGGCCCCAAGCCUUGGCUGCUGGAACCUGGAGUUUGAUGGCGAAGACGCAGAGGCACCGAGCGAUGCCUCUCCAGCCACACAGCCGCGACAGCGCUGAAUCCAGGGCUCUAGGCCCCUGUGGACACGUCCAGAGUCUACCCAUUAGGCCAUUUUUCUUAAACAUGAAAGGAACCUUAGCUACCAUUGAGUCUAACCCCUUUUUACAGACAGGAAAACUGAGGUUAAUUGUUGGGGAAAACAUCCAAUAUAGAAAUUCGAAUUAAGUUCCAUCAGUUACACAGCUGGGUGUAGUCACACUAAAUUUGAUUAGUGUGUCUAAUUUAUUUUGGCUCCCUAAACUUUACUGAUCAAUUCAGAGAGGAACACUCGUGUUGCAUAUUCAUAGAGAGAGAGCAGUAACUAAUAUAUAUAUGAUAAAGUAAACAUUUUUUAAAAAUCCUACUUAUAAUGGAGCCAAAUACUUGAAAAUAGCUAUUUUGUUGUUUUAAAACCCAUAAUUAUGUUGCGGUCUUCAACCCCAUUCUAUCCCUUCUAUGAUUCUCUCAACUAGGGUGAUGCAGAUUUAGGGGUGCUCCCGGAGGCCUCUGGAGGGCAGGAGCAGGGACCCACCAGCAGUGAACGACCCUGGGUGUCUGCUUUCCUUCGUCUGUACCUGAAAGCCGGACCAAGAACCAUCCGUUCUAAAGGCAUAUUCACUCCCGCAACUGGCAUUUACUGAGGCCACCGUGCGCCAGGUUCUGUCACAGGCAUGACUUUAAAGUCCAGAAACUGACUGUGUUUAUGAUAAACGUGAAGCAGGGAAGGGUACUGAGCUCAAGCUCAUGGCCAGAUGUGCUUCUCAAGCGGGCCUCCAAGUCCAACAGGACCCUGGUCACCUGCCCUGCACCAAUGCCCAGGGGACACUGCACUAUAAUCUAGUAACCCCCUUCAGGCACCACCAAGAGCUGCCCUGGCCUUCCGCAGCUGGCGGACCAGCACCCCAACAAUGACAGGGCACCCCUGGCUGGCGGAGGGCUCUCUCCCUCUGCGGGGCCGGGAGGUGGAGGUGCUUUAAAACCUCCCUGCAAGCAGCCCCAUUUCAAGUCCCAUGAAGCAGAAACAGGCCUGCAUUCACGGUCCAUUGUGAAACUCGAACCCGGCAGCUCAGUUCACCCUUGGGCGGGUUGCGAUCCGAGAAAGGUGACUUGGGACAGGGGCGCUGCCUGCUCUCCAGGAGGAAGCUGGGCUCGGACAGGCUGCGUUUACUUCCGGGUCUGGGGAGAGACGAGGCGAGAGGCUGCUUCUCCUAACAGCCCUCUGGCACUGCCAGGAGGCGGACAAAAGAAGCAGAAAGGAAAGCUCGUGUCUUCUGUUACAUUCAUGUUGUUUCUACAACCGUUGACAGCCAGUUUCUAAGUCUGGGACCUCACCGAUUCCUCCUGAAGCGACUUGGUGGGUGGGCGGGUGUAAUGAAGGCUUGCACUCGGUGGGUUUUCAGGUCGAACAGGCUGGGGCAGGUGGAGGAGGAAGACGCUGGCCCGAGUGCAGGUGCUCAGGCACGUCAAACGCCAAGCCGGCCGCGCCACUGCCAGGCGCACGGAAAACCCGGCCAAGGGCUGAGUGACCCUGGAGCAGGAGGCCGCAGGGCGAGAGCGGGUCCAGUGCAGCAGGAAGACGGCGGCCGAGGGCUGACCGCACUGGCCCGGCCCUGCCCAGGGCUUCCCCACCUCGGCAUGACUAACAUUUGGGGAUCAUUUUCGGGGCGGAGGGGGGGCUCUACCCAGCAACCCAGCCCGUGGGAAAACCAAAACAUGCACCGGACGUUGCCAGGUGCUCCCUGGGGUGUGUGUGUGGGGGGGCCGCCUCCGUCCCCAGCCGAGAGUCCCUGGUGUAGACACACCUCUGCAGCCCUGAAAUCUGUCAAGCUGAAUUGUUAACUCGGGUCCCAGCCUUGAGGGUAACACCUGGCAGACAGGCAGUUCGAAGGAUCAAUACCAUCGGAUUGGAAAGAGGUAUUGCUCAAGGAGCCCAGUUUAUCGCAGUAUUUGACAUUUAGAUGCAGCAGUCUGUUUCGAAAACAACCAAAGGAAGUUCACAGACAGCUUCUACACCCCAGUAAAGGCGCUGGCAUCGCCACCUUCCUUUCCUGGGGUAAAUGGGAAAGAACUAUUUGUUAAAUACGGACGUGCAAGUCAGGACCAGCCCUCCUCCCGAGACUCGGAGGCGGCAAAGCUUGCCCUGCUAUCAUUAUUUUUGCUUGGCUGUUCCUUUUGAUUCCCUCUAUUUAAUGUCUUCUGGUUGGAAGAUUCAAAAACGUGCCUGGUUGGUGCUUCAACAUUUUCCAUCUUCCUAACGUCCUCGUCCACAAUGACACAGAGUGAGUUACGUGGCCGGCCUCCGCAAAGGAGCCACGCAGUCCAGCUGUGUGGGAACACAAAUCGCAGCAGCGGACCUUGCACUGAGUGUAAGAAAGCAUACAAUACUUGGGAUAUGAGUCAAAGACUUCAACGAACUUUGCUUUCCCUGUCCUGGAAAUUCAGUUUUAUUCCACCGAUGAUGGGGCACCUGUGGUCUUCUCAGCCACGUGCCCACUCUGGCCGAUCUGGACGCCUGGACUGACGGGACGGGACGGAUGCCCCUGAUCAGUAAUAGCCAACCACCAGCCAUUUGACCUUCACCACACUCUGGCGGGAGGCGAACUCACGGUUCAUAGUCUUUCUCAGGGUUACGGUUAAGAGCCAUUUCCAAAAUAAAUGAAAAUCAAACGUAUCUUUCCUGGAUAUGACAUUUAAGGAUUGUCAUCAUAAUUUCCUUUCAAUAUGCACUGAAAGUCACUUUCUCAUAGACCACCCCAAAAUAAUUAGCUUUCUUUUAAUUACUAAGGGGGCUCUAAAGAUCAGAUAGCACUCUAAACUGCCUGCCAAUGUCUACUAAUUCUGAAUUAAAAAAAAAUCCAUACCCCAGUUGUUUGGCUGAUGGUGAAUACAGCAGACACAUCUCAGACCCUUCUCAAGGAAGAGGUCCCAUCAUGACUGCCUGAAGUUAAGAUAUGCAUUUCCUUAAGAAUUCAAUUUUAACCCAAUACUAAUUCCUUAAACAUACUUUUUAAACCAAUGUAUGUUACUUAGAGACGAAUUCUCAAAAGUAAAAUAAGAAAACAGGAAGUUCCCGUCGUGGCGCAGUGGUUAACGAAUCCAACUAGGAACCAUGAGGUUGCGGGUUCGAUCCCUGGCCUUGCUCAGUGGGUUAAGGAUCCGGCAUUGCCAUGAGCUGUGGUGUAGGUUGCAGACACGGCUCGGAUCUGGCAUUGCUUUCUCUCCAAAACCCCGAUUAAAAGGCGCUUCAGCAGGUGGUCAUCAUGAUAUGCACACGGGGCUGCCGCUGCUAAGGCAAUCAUGAUGUCACCCAGCACGCCCAGAGCCCCCAAACCUUUGGGGAUCACAUCGCUGCUUUUAAAGUAAAAUUCUUCAUGGAUGCUCUUAAAACAACUGCUAAGCAAAGGGCGAUCUGGAAC
Molecule: long non-coding RNA, 5397 nt
Filed under: Sus scrofa (pig)
Lineage: Eukaryota; Metazoa; Chordata; Mammalia; Artiodactyla; Suidae
Description: lncRNA (ENSSSCG00005015744.1)
Source: RNAcentral